ACGCUGACAGAAUGCUUAACACAUGCAAGUCUUUGGCGAAGCUGUGCUUGCACAGCCUAGCCAAGGCGGACGGGUGAGUAACGCGUAAGGAACUUGCCCUGCAGUCAGGGAUAACAGACGGAAACGACUGAUAAGACCUGGUAAAGUCAGGCGGACUCAUGUCCAGCCUGAUGAAAGGAGAUGCUGCAGGAGAGCCUUGCGUCCUAUUAGCUUGUUGGUGGGGUAACGGCCCACCAAGGCGAUGAUAGGUAGCCGGCCUGAGAGGGUGGACGGCCACAAGGGGACUGAGAUACGGCCCUUACUCCUACGGGAGGCAGCAGUGGGGAAUAUUGGACAAUGGGGGCAACCCUGAUCCAGCAAUUCUGUGUGCACGAUGAAGGUUUUCGGAUUGUAAAGUGCUUUCAGCAGGGAAGAAAAAAAUGACGGUACCUGCAGAAGAAGCGACGGCUAAAUACGUGCCAGCAGCCGCGGUAAUACGUAUGUCGCAAGCGUUAUCCGGAAUUAUUGGGCAUAAAGGGCAUCUAGGCGGCCAGAUAAGUCUGGGGUGAAAACUUGCGGCUCAACCGCAAGCCUGCCCUGGAAACUAUGUGGCUAGAGUACUGGAGAGGUGGACGGAACUGCACGAGUAGAGGUGAAAUUCGUAAAUAUGUGCAGGAAUGCCGAUGAUGAAGAUAGUUCACUGGACGGUAACUGACGCUGAAGUGCGAAAGCUAGGGGAGCAAACAGGAUUAGAUACCCUGGUAGUCCUAGCUGUAAACGAUGAUUACUGGGUGUGGGCAUGAAGAGUGUCCGUGCCGAAGCUAAUGCGAUAAGUAAUCCGCCUGGGGAGUACGGCCGCAAGGCUGAAACUCAAAGGAAUUGACGGGGACCCGCACAAGCGGUGGAGCAUGUGGUUUAAUUCGACGC
Molecule: ribosomal RNA, 906 nt
Filed under: uncultured bacterium
Lineage: Bacteria
Description: bacterial SSU rRNA
Rfam family: Bacterial small subunit ribosomal RNA
Source: RNAcentral